UACGUAGGGUGCAAGCGUUAAUCGGAAUUACUGGGCGUAAAGCGUGCGCAGGCGGCUUUGUAAGCCAGGUGUGAAAUCCCCGGGCUCAACCUGGGAAUGGCAUUUGGGACUGCAAGGCUGGAGUGUGGCAGAGGAGACUGGAAUUCCUGGUGUAGCAGUGAAAUGCGUAGAUAUCAGGAGGAAUACCGAUGGCGAAGGCAGGUCUCUGGGCUGACACUGACGCUCAUGCACGAAAGCGUGGGGAGCAAACAGG
RNAcentral lists this ribosomal RNA (253 nucleotides) under uncultured bacterium. Its description in RNAcentral is "partial 16S ribosomal RNA". It matches the Rfam family "Bacterial small subunit ribosomal RNA", at positions 524 to 776 of the family's 1533-position model. The record is from RNAcentral.